GAUGAACGCUGGCGGCGUGCCUAAUACAUGCAAGUCGAGCGAACAGACGAGAGUGCUUGCACUCUCUGACGUUAGCGGCGGACGGGUGAGUAACACGUGGGUAACCUACCUAUAAGACUGGGAUAACUUCGGGAAACCGGAGCUAAUACCGGAUAAUAUUUAGCUUCGCAUGAAGCAAUAGUGAAAGACGGUUCUGCUGUCACUUAUAGAUGGACCCGCGGUGUAUUAGCUAGUUGGUGAGGUAACGGCUCACCAAGGCAACGAUACAUAGCCGACCUGAGAGGGUGAGCGGCCACACUGGGACUGAGACACGGCCCAGACUCCUACGGGAGGCAGCAGUAGGGAAUCUUCCGCAAUGGACGAAAGUCUGACGGAGCAAUGCCGCGUGAGUGAAGAAGGUUUUCGGAUCGUAAAACUCUGUUGUAAGGGAAGAACAAGUACGUUAGUAACUGAACGUACCUUGACGGUACCUUACCAGAAAGCCACGGCUAACUACGUG
Molecule: ribosomal RNA, 499 nt
Filed under: uncultured bacterium
Lineage: Bacteria
Description: partial 16S ribosomal RNA
Rfam family: Bacterial small subunit ribosomal RNA
Source: RNAcentral